This 406-nucleotide ribosomal RNA is filed under the name uncultured bacterium. Its description in RNAcentral is "bacterial SSU rRNA". It matches the Rfam family "Bacterial small subunit ribosomal RNA", at positions 355 to 776 of the family's 1533-position model. The record is from RNAcentral.
UGGGGGAUAUUGCGCAAUGGGGGAAACCCUGACGCAGCAACGCCGCGUGAAGGAAGAAGGUUUUCGGAUUGUAAACUUCUUUUAUUAAGGACGAAGAAGUGACGGUACUUAAUGAAUAAGCUCCGGCUAACUACGUGCCAGCAGCCGCGGUAAUACGUAGGGAGCGAGCGUUGUCCGGAUUUACUGGGUGUAAAGGGUGCGUAGGCGGCUAAUCAAGUCAGGUGUGAAAUACAUGGGCUUAACUCAUGGGCUGCACUUGAAACUGAAUAGCUUGAGUGAAGUAGAGGCAGGCGGAAUUCCCGGUGUAGCGGUGAAAUGCGUAGAGAUCGGGAGGAACACCAGUGGCGAAGGCGGCUUGCUGGGCUUUAACUGACGCUGAGGCACGAAAGCGUGGGGAGCAAACAGG